UAUGAGAUCAUGUUGGCUGAAACCAUCCCUAGCAAGUGAGGUAUAAAGUACUAAAUCACAAAUUAAAAACAAUCAAAUGUCAAUUUUGAAUCUUGGGAAUUGCCUUUCUUCUGGACCCUGAAAGGAAAAGAUUGUUUAAAUGAAGGAGCACUUGAGGACCUAUUAGACCUCAGAACCUGAACACCUCUGCCAUCCCUUCUGACUGCAUCCAAUUUAAGGGAAGAAAUUGUGAGAUAUUACAAAUAUAUUAGAAAUUGGGGGUUGUAAUUGAAAUGUAUUAUCUUCCCAAUAAAUUUCGUGUCGUGGUGCA
RNAcentral lists this long non-coding RNA (310 nucleotides) under Monodelphis domestica (gray short-tailed opossum). Its description in RNAcentral is "lncRNA (ENSMODG00000035714.2)". The record is from RNAcentral. Lineage: Eukaryota; Metazoa; Chordata; Mammalia; Didelphimorphia; Didelphidae.